This 253-nucleotide ribosomal RNA is filed under the name uncultured bacterium. RNAcentral's name for it is "partial 16S ribosomal RNA". It matches the Rfam family "Bacterial small subunit ribosomal RNA", at positions 524 to 776 of the family's 1533-position model. The record is from RNAcentral.
GACGAACCGAGCGAACGUUGUUCGGAAUCACUGGGCUUAAAGGGCGCGUAGGCGGGCUGCCGCGUCCGGGGUGAAAUCCCACGGCUCAACCGUGGAACGGCCCCGGGUACGGGCGGGCUCGAGGAAGGUAGGGGCGUGCGGAACUGUGGGUGGAGCGGUGAAAUGCGUUGAGAUCCACAGGAACUCCGGUGGCGAAGGCGGCACGCUGGACCUGUUCUGACGCUGAGGCGCGAAAGCCAGGGGAGCGAACGGG